This 133-nucleotide small RNA is filed under the name Klebsiella pneumoniae. RNAcentral's name for it is "RtT sRNA". It matches the Rfam family "RtT RNA". Rfam says of the family: This family represents a bacterial cis-regulatory element known as RtT RNA. The exact function of RtT is unknown although it is thought that it may be involved in changing the cellular response in relation to amino acid starvation. Lineage: Bacteria; Pseudomonadati; Pseudomonadota; Gammaproteobacteria; Enterobacterales; Enterobacteriaceae. The record is from RNAcentral.
UAUUCUGCCCCAUGGGGAAGGAUGAGAAGCUUCGACUAAGGUUCGACUCGAGCGACAGCGAGAGAACGUUGCCGCAGGCAACGGCCCGAAGGGCGAGGCGCUUUAGCGCCGAGUAAUCCUUCCCCCACCACCA